GUGGGGAAUCUUAGACAAUGGGGGAAACCCUGAUCUAGCCAUGCCGCGUGAGCGAUGAAGGCCUUAGGGUUGUAAAGCUCUUUCAGCUGGGAAGAUAAUGACGGUACCAGCAGAAGAAGCCCCGGCUAACUCCGUGCCAGCAGCCGCGGUAAUACGGAGGGGGCUAGCGUUGUUCGGAAUUACUGGGCGUAAAGCGCGCGUAGGCGGACCAGAAAGUUGGAGGUGAAAUCCCAGGGCUCAACCUUGGAACUGCCUUCAAAACUCCUGGUCUGGAGUUCGAGAGAGGGGAGUGGAAUUCCGAGUGUAGAGGUGAAAUUCGUAGAUAUUCGGAGGAACACCAGUGGCGAAGGCGGCUCACUGGCUCGAUACUGACGCUGAGGUGCGAAAGCGUGGGGAGCAAACAGGAUUAGAAACCCGGGUAGUCC
Molecule: ribosomal RNA, 425 nt
Filed under: uncultured bacterium
Lineage: Bacteria
Description: partial 16S ribosomal RNA
Rfam family: Bacterial small subunit ribosomal RNA
Source: RNAcentral